UUACAUUAUUGUUGUUUAUUGUUACAUUAUUGCACGUUUCAUAUCAUUUUUAAAAGUAUUUUAUCCGUUUUCCAGACUUGUACGAUAAUUUUUCGGCCUCUGGUACGAUAGUUGCCUGGCUUCAGGUUGUGAACACUGAUCUUCAUUCGUUAUUUGUGCUUGAAAAGUUUGAAGUGUCAAAUUAAUCAAAAUAUAAAUAAAGUUGUUUUUCUGUUUUAAUACGGUUUACACCUAUAACGAUACUAAAAUAUACAAAUAACGAUGUCAGCAAGCAGCCAACGGGCAAACAAGGACCGUACUAACUGGGCUCAAAAAGAAACCGCCAAAUUGAUGAUGCUACUCAAGGAUUACCCAGUCCUAACCUGAAAAGAAACGGAUCACUCCAGCAAUCUAUCAAAACAAAA
Long non-coding RNA from Pieris rapae (cabbage white), 404 nucleotides. RefSeq lists it as uncharacterized. The record is from RefSeq and is a predicted model, not a curated record. The transcript has 2 exons. Lineage: Eukaryota; Metazoa; Arthropoda; Insecta; Lepidoptera; Pieridae.